This 280-nucleotide ribosomal RNA is filed under the name uncultured prokaryote. RNAcentral describes it as "partial 16S ribosomal RNA". It matches the Rfam family "Bacterial small subunit ribosomal RNA", at positions 524 to 803 of the family's 1533-position model. The record is from RNAcentral.
UACGUAGGGGCUAGCGUUAUCCGGAAUUACUGGGCGUAAAGGGUGCGUAGGUGGUUUCUUAAGUCAGAGGUGAAAGGCUACGGCUCAACCGUAGUAAGCCUUUGAAACUGGGAAACUUGAGUGCAGGAGAGGAGAGUGGAAUUCCUAGUGUAGCGGUGAAAUGCGUAGAUAUUAGGAGGAACACCAGUUGCGAAGGCGGCUCUCUGGACUGUAACUGACACUGAGGCGCGAAAGCGUGGGGAGCAAACAGGAUUAGAUACCCCGGUAGUCCCUGAGCGGG